Long non-coding RNA from Pollicipes pollicipes, 805 nucleotides. RefSeq lists it as uncharacterized. The transcript has 3 exons. NCBI's taxonomy places the organism in Eukaryota, Metazoa, Arthropoda, Thecostraca, Pollicipedomorpha, Pollicipedidae. The record is from RefSeq and is a predicted model, not a curated record.
CAUUUGGUCCAUCGCGGACCCACGGAUUGUUCGAUGGGGUCGAACGGCGGUAAUGCGGGCGGCAAUAUGGCGGUCGCCGUAUUGGCAGCAUCUGAAAUUUGGUUUUGGAUCUUGGGGGAGAAAACAAAAGUAUUAAAAUCGCGGCUUGUAGUGAGAACAAAAAACCCAGGUGAAUUUGCACUGCAUUCACAGCUGGCACUGAAGGACAUUCUUUGGGAGCAGAUAAUAGUUAACACCAUACUCCUGCUGAUGUCAGCGGUUGCCAAAGACCAUUAGAAAUUGGCUGCUUGCAAUUCAUAAAUUGUCUAGCUUCAUAGGUAGAAGGCAGCUUCUCAAGCUCCAUUUCUUUUCUGUAAAGAAACCUGUGAAUUGUAUUCAUGGCCCAAGUCAUGUAAAAGGCUGCCUUUGUUGUUUAGAUUAAAGAGCUGAGUUAGCUAUAUGAAUGUAGAGCCAAAAUUAGUUGAGUAUCAAUUUUUGUUGUUGGCAUCCUAUUGCCCAUAAUACCAUAUAUUUUGUAUCACAAACAUGGUGAGUCAUCUCAUGGCCAUGCCCAAAAAAAGAUACAUUUUGCUGCUGCUGUGUUUUGGUGGCGUUUCUUCAUUUUUGCUCUUGCAAAACAAGAGCUUCUUGAAGACCCCUGAGUAUGAACCUGGAGAUAUUGAAACUACUGUACAUUGCAAGUCAAACCUUGUGGACCGGCGUCAUGUGGUGCCCCCCGCGGCCGCCGACACCAGCACCAUCUACGUGGUAACGCCGACCUACCGGCGCGUGGAGCAGGUGGCCGAGCUGACGCGCCAGGGGCAGA